RNAcentral lists this unclassified non-coding RNA (1889 nucleotides) under Ixodes scapularis (black-legged tick). RNAcentral describes it as "putative zinc finger protein 286B, transcript variant X2". Lineage: Eukaryota; Metazoa; Arthropoda; Arachnida; Ixodida; Ixodidae. The record is from RNAcentral.
CAGAAAGAUGGCUACUGGUCAAAAUCACGGGCAGUGCCAAAUUUGUAUAUAUUCGCCCUUGAAUUUACCAACAGCUCGUUAGAAUUUACCAGUAAUGUUGGAAUUUACCACCAGGCUAAAGAUGGCGUCUCGCUGGUGCGGCUUGCUCGGUUUGAUCCAGUGGUUUGAUCAUAGUUUGAUCGGCGGCGCGCGAUUCCGACCGCGGUUAGAUGUUUACGUUGCUGGUGAGGUUACAUCAGAGUCUAUGCGGCAAGAGCUCUUCCGUCUUCAUCCUCAGCACCCCUGGGGAAGCGAUUUAUUCUACUACUCCGUAAUUCAAUUAUCAGAUGGACAAUCAAACAAAAGACUGUGUGCGCGCGUUUUUUUUUUUUUUUUCCUUCUUUUUUUUUCUCGAGGAGAGCGACGGAGGUGCCGUUGGAGUUUUGAGGCGCACGGUGGACAAGACCCAGGGACCACGUCGAUGUCCGGAGUAGUCCGGGGAGCAGGAGGACCCCGUCGACCCAAACGUAUCGCCAGCAAUUCGGGCUCGGCUGCUGGUAGCGGCCCGCGUUCGCCAGGAGACAAAGGUAUUCUCCAGGCAACUGAACACCACUGUCCCCGACCGGGCCCUCAGCCAGAUCGAGGUCCACGAGAACCUUUGCGAAUUUCUCGGGUGCCGCUGCGACGGAGUCGGGGGCGUGGACCCGGGCCGCGUGCCCCCGGAAAAGCCCCCGAGGGCCACCCAAGGCACUGUGACCGACAGCCUGUGGCCCACCGGGACCGCCGCUGCCGAAAUGACGGACCAGACCGCCGCUGCCGUGAUGGCGGACCAGCCCGGGCGGGGCGGAGUGACCACGGCCUCGGCUCCCGUAAUGGCGGCGAUGAGAGACAAUGGGGAGCCCUCCCCGGUCGGCUCCCCCGCACCGGGCGGCAAAGAUGGCGCCCGUGCCCGCCCAAGAUCCUCAUCUUGCCCGGGGGGGGGGGGGGAGGAGAGGAGGGGGAGGGAGGGAGGGAGGGGAGGAGAAGGGGAGAGACAUCACCCCCCGGCCCCUCGCUGUCCCGGCAGAGUCCGCGCCGGCAGCAGGCUCCACGUCUGCCCCCCUCGACCCCCGUUUCCACUCUGCGAACAUCUUCCAGGACCUGCGCGAUGACGACUGCGGCGACGAUCUCCAUGCCCCCUGGAGGAAAGUCUGCAGAGGAGGGAGGCUGGAUAAGGGAUGCGGAGGAGCGGGCAACGGCGCCGUGCCCCUCCACCUUCAGAACGGCAGCAAGCACAUCGAGACAUGCCGGGACGCGGGUCAGCCAACCCCCCAGACCGUCCUGCUUUGGCACAGAGAGCGGGCGGCCCUGAAAAGAGCUAACCGCUUCAGUGUGGGGCGGGACAACGGUCUGAUCGCGGGCAGGGGCUGCACCACCCGCAUCAACCUCAGGCGGAACAUCGUCGUGGUGGACACUACCGACGAGGAGAUGGCUGCCCGUCUCCUCGCAAUAAAGAAGUUGGGAGAGAUCGAGGCGGAGGCGCUGCUUGCCACCCAUAGAAGGGGUCCCACAGGGCUGGUGAUUGAUGUGAACCCGGACGCCUUCCUCGCGGACGUCGAGUCUCCCUUCCGCGUCAUCGCGGCCCACCGGACCAACCAUGGAAGGGACUUGCGACACAAAGGGCAAUUUUGAAGCAAAAUGUGGCUCAUCUAAAAAAAGUGGACGUCACUGCAGGCAUUAUUGCACGGAAAAGUGCUGGAAUGAAUUGUCUGGCUUAGCAAUGACUGGUGUACCCUGCAAAUGAAACCCAUCAAAUGGCCUGCUCCGUAUAAAGAUCUCAUGCAACACCAGUGGCGAUUCCCGGCCGGCAAAGUGGUGGAAGUCUCCCGUUUGCCCCGCCGAAAAGGUGGAAGGUACGACGCCAGAAGGCG